CCUCUUCAAAUGUCGCUAUGGCAACGUUGCCGGAGAGCACAGCUUCUUCAUCUGUAUCUCCCGCUUUCCCCUUUUCUGUACUCUCCUCUUCCUAUUCCCUCCUUUAACAGCGAAGCAGUCAGCAUCUCUAGCUGCCACUGAAGGCUGUGUGUGGCAAUUAUUUAGCAGUUUGCUGAAUUCCAGAAGUUGGCACAGACCAGACGGACCAUUGCACUUCUCUCCCAAAGCAGGCCACUGACAUGUCCAGUUCAUCUCUUCCCAUGCCGAGCUUAGUGCUCCCCAUCUCCAGCAGCUCAGCAUACAGAGAGGGGGACAUGACCACCACCCCUGCUAUCCUCCCCAGCCUUCAAUCCGGGGAAGAUUACAUGAACGUUCACAACAUCAUCAUUGUCAUCAUCUUCUGCAUGGUGUGCUUCCUCUUGCUGAUGGCCUUUUUCUACACUUUCUGUUUCCACUGCACGCUGCAAUCCUCAGCCAAAGAUAGCCACACCAAUGCGGGCUGCAGCGUGGAGAGAGAGGAUGCCACCUACAGACGCAGCUCUUCCAGCCCUUCUCUUGGAAAUACCAUCUGAAAUGAGUCCUAUCAUACAUCACUGCUCUUUCUUACUGUCCACUGAGAACAUUUGCCACCACUUAUUUUGUCCUCUAUGAAGGUGAUAUGCAGUUGCAAUCAGCUGGACUACGUCUCCCAUCAUGCAACAGAGCUGUUUCUAUGGUUAAUCUCAUUGAAACACCAUCUUCCAUUGAUUCCUAAACUUAAAAGAAGCUCAUUACAUGAGCUAGGAACCCUCCUAGGAGCAUCAUAACCAUCUGGUAGCCUGUUUUCACUUUCGAGGAAUAUGACCCAUCAAUGGAAACUACUUAGUCUAUGUACUGCUGUGGAAACAACUGUUUAUCCAUUAUUAUUUCACACUGAUGCACUAGCUUCUGUACCAAAGUGAGCAUUUGUUAUAUAACUGUUAAGACUCAGUCUUUGUUAUAAUGUCAUAGUGGUUUUGCCCUAAGCAACAAGCACAGGCAUUAUCCAUGGAAACUGCUUAAAAAUGGCAAUUUAAAAUGUUAUAGAUGUGCAUUUUGAGGAGCUAAUUACAGUAAUGUUCAAAAGUCAGAGACCCUGUUAAUGUCUAGUCAAACCAGCCUUUAAGCUCUGAACAGUUUAUUCAUCUGAUAGUGUCAGGGGAAAAAGCAGGAACCAUUAUUUAACACAUAAUUAUACAGAAGCUUCAACAACUACACAUAUUUCUUCAGCACUCAUUGUGUUGAACCUUUGCCUUUAUUAUGGCUUCCAUGCUUUUCAGGGGUGGUGCUUUUGUUUUUCAAAGAAAUCCACAGGGAUUUCAGUCUUCUCACAUUCCAAGUAAUCCCAAUUCCAAAUUUACACUCAUCAGUCUAGAAAUCCUCACUCCGCAUCUGAGGCAAUUUCAUUUCCUUUUCGAAGCUGACAGCUCCACAUCCUUUCAGACUCACAGGCGUUGAAUUGUCAUCUCACAGUGCAAGGAUGGACAGAAACACCUGUGGAUUUUUUAACAUCUAAAUCAGGUUAGUCUACCUGGUCUCGCUUGGUUUUUAAGAGCCCCAUUUUCUCUUUAUCUUUUAAUCAUUUUUUAAACUUCAGUUUUGUAAAACUCCUGCCUUUUUCAUUUGGCUUUUACAUCCAGUUAGAUUAUCUUAUGACUUAUUUCCUGGAAAAUAUCUGCUAUAAUGUGUAGUAAAUGGCUAUUUUGACUAGAAAUGUUAUAAAUGAAGGGCGUUCUCUGACUUUUAUAUAGUGCUGUAAGUAGCACACAUUAAAAUGUCAAACUCUAACUUCUUAUGUGCCACAGUGGACAUGAGCACGGUCUGUCAGAGUUAAACAACGCCACAGUUUUUGUUGUUUUCCUUAUGUACUCCAGUAUAAUUCAGAACUGAAACAAAGGCCAUCAGCUUUAAUUUGGGGGCAAUGUACAUUCUUGCUGGGUGACACAUGUAGGGAAUAUAUAUAUUUUUAUGUGUAGUUCCCAUAUAAGUAAUUGGACAGAAUGAUACCAAGUUGUUUUGUUUUUGUCCAGCUAUGUUUGUUCAUGCAUAAAAAAGCUACCAAAAGUGUAGUAGUUGUAUUCACAUCUGAAGCCUGCCACCCUUUCCUCUUAACAUGAGCACAAAAUAAAUGUAGAUGUCGGUAAAGCAGGCUGUCAUAAGGCUGAAAAAUAAGAAGAAAUCAAUGGGAGAUGUGGCCAAAAUAUUGAAUACACUUUUCACAUAUUGAAGGGAUCAAGAAUAUGGUGAUACUCUGUGAGAUCUAGGGACUGAUGUAUCCAAGAAUACCAUAAAGAGAGCAAUAUAUCUGGUAACAUUAGAUGUUUCAACACAAAUUGCAAACCAGUGGUAAGCCUUAAAAACAGAACGGUCAAUGUAUAAUUUGCUGAAGUACUUAAAAAUUCUUGGAGAGUCAUGAAACAUGCUUGCUAGGGACACCAGUUUUAG
Long non-coding RNA from Pygocentrus nattereri (red-bellied piranha), 2463 nucleotides. RefSeq lists it as uncharacterized. NCBI's taxonomy places the organism in Eukaryota, Metazoa, Chordata, Actinopteri, Characiformes, Serrasalmidae. The record is from RefSeq and is a predicted model, not a curated record. The transcript has 2 exons.